Molecule: ribosomal RNA, 253 nt
Filed under: uncultured bacterium
Lineage: Bacteria
Also listed under: 1 other name
Description: partial 16S ribosomal RNA
Rfam family: Bacterial small subunit ribosomal RNA
Source: RNAcentral
UACGAAGGGGGCUAGCGUUGUUCGGAAUUACUGGGCGUAAAGGGCGCGUAGGCUGUGCUGUAAGUCAGGCGUGAAAGCCCCGGGCUCAACCUGGGAAUUGCGCUUGAUACUGCGGCGCUGGAAGGUGGGAGAGGAUGGCGGAAUUCCCAGUGUAGAGGUGAAAUUCGUAGAUAUUGGGAAGAACACCGGUGGCGAAGGCGGCCAUCUGGCCCACAUUUGACGCUGAGGCGCGAAAGCGUGGGGAGCAAACAGG